Molecule: ribosomal RNA, 559 nt
Filed under: uncultured Oscillospiraceae bacterium
Lineage: Bacteria; Bacillati; Bacillota; Clostridia; Eubacteriales; Oscillospiraceae
Description: bacterial SSU rRNA
Rfam family: Bacterial small subunit ribosomal RNA
Source: RNAcentral
GACGAACGCUGGCGGCGCGCCUAACACAUGCAAGUCGAACGGGAUCUGUCCGAAGCUUGCUUUGGACGGUUUCAGUGGCGGACGGGUGAGUAACGCGUGAGGAACCUGCCUUUCAGAGGGGGAUAACGUCCGGAAACGGACGCUAAUACCGCAUGACAUCCCGGGAUCACAUGGUUUUGGGAUCAAAGGAGCAAUCCGCUGAGAGAUGGACUCGCGUCCGAUUAGCCAGUUGGCGGGGUAACGGCCCACCAAAGCUGCGAUCGGUAGCCGGACUGAGAGGUUGAACGGCCACAUUGGGACUGAGACACGGCCCAGACUCCUACGGGAGGCAGCAGUGGGGGAUCUUGCACAAUGGAGGAAACUCUGAUGCAGCGACGCCGCGUGAGGGAAGACGGUUUUUGGAUUGUAAACCUCUGUCCUCGGUGACGAUAAUGACGGUAGCCGAGGAGGAAGCUCCGGCUAACUACGUGCCAGCAGCCGCGGUAAUACGUAGGGAGCGAGCGUUGUCCGGAUUUACUGGGUGUAAAGGGUGCGUAGGCGGCUGAACAAGUCAGGUGUG